Paramuricea clavata is the source of this 2893-nucleotide non-coding RNA. The record is from the annotation of a GenBank genome assembly. NCBI's taxonomy places the organism in Eukaryota, Metazoa, Cnidaria, Anthozoa, Malacalcyonacea, Plexauridae.
GCACGAGUCACGAUAUAUCGUGGGGAUAUGGCAGGUAUAUAAGAAGUACGAGCAUCAUUGAAACCAAUUAUAGUUGGAGUUCACAUUGCAAACGACUUCGCUAAAUCUUCCACUUCUUUGUCGGAUUCAGUCGAUUAUUUAGAUAUUCUGCCAAAAUGCCUGAGUACAAACUGACGUAUUUUAACGUUCGUGCACGCGGUGAACCAGUUCGAACAAUGUUGAAGUUAGCCGGUGUUGAAUAUGAGGAAAGAACUCUUAGUUUUGGAGAGGAGUGGGAAAAUGUAAAAUCAGGUAUACGCUUUGAAUUUGUUGUUUGGAAAUAGUCGUUAUUAAUGUAGAGAGUCUAAGUCUUUUUCGGGAUAUCUUUUCAAAAGUUGUCUAGACCUCAUAUACUAUAUAAUAUACAUAUAUAUAUAUAGCCUAUAGGACUGGUAAUCCUCUCCGUAUAAUCACAGUUGAUAGCGACCAGAUGCAGGACGGGAACGUGACGACGACGGCAAAGAAACUCAUUUAACCAAAUAAUUCGUCUAUUAUCGUAUGAAAUUGAGGUUAAAUCGACGUCACGAAAACUUCCGCGAGAACUUAGGGACCGUUCAUUAUUUAUACCUGGGGUUGGUACCGAAGAGAAGCGAAAAACACUGUAAUUUUUUUAUUUACCCAACCUCAACAUUGGUCAAAAUAAUGUUUACCCAACCCAUGUGUUACUGUACUUAAUAAUUAAACACACAAGAUUAUUUGGUGACAGAAAUCAAGAUGCCUAAAUUUUAAAAGCUCACUCAGACUCAAACUCACUGAGUGUGCCAAUGGAACCACGUUCCUGCUGAUCAAUAAUAGAGUCCUUCCUCAAUCACUGAUAGUCUACUUUGGUACAGAAUGUAUUGUGCACAUUUUUCUUCAUAUUUUCCAAUGCAUGGUAAUUUCGGUUUUAUUUUAUAGCUGACAGACAGCCACAAUUUUUUUUUACCCAACCCAUGAGCUAGUCAAAAACUUGAUUACCCAACCCAUAUCUCUUCGGUACCAACCUCGGGUGUAAAUAAUGAACGGUCCCUUAAUUGUUCAUUUCUGCUCAUUUUCUUGUAUUAAUAUGAUAUUAUUAGCCGUCCUUAUUUUUAAUAACAGUAGUUCUUUAUGAUUUUAAAAGUGUGAAAUUUAGACUGUUUCUUGUCACGUUCCCGUACCAGAUUAAGUCUUGCUUAUAUAAGUUUAGUUUUGCCCCCCCCCCCCCCAAAAAAAAAAAAUUGUGAUAACAUUAAAUUAGUGGUAAUCUUUCUCAAUGGCGAGAAUGAAUCACUUGUGGACUGAUGAGGGAUUGCCCUCACUGGGACGUGAAGGAAGAACGCUUUUUAGAUAUAGAAGUAAAGAGUCAGUGAAUGAUAUGUAUAUAUAAGCAACUUUUGUAGUAAUGCAAUUUAUAUAAUAUGUUCUGUCUUUAUUCAGAUAAUACAAAAUAUCCAUUUAAUCAACUGCCAGUGUUGGAGGUUGAUGGAACACCAAUAGCACAGUCCAUGGCGAUUAUGAGAUAUUUAGGAAAAGAGCACGGUAGUUAUAUUUUCUUUUUCUAUUCUCUCUUAGUCAUCAUCGGCUUUCGCGGAUGUUUCGUGUGUUUGCGUUACCUUCGAUGUCAGCAAUAAAGAACUGCUUCUUUACGUUUUGUUAUGUUUUUAUACUAUAGGUUAUGCACCAAGCAGCAAUCUGGAACAAGCUCAGGCAGAUGCCAUAGUAGAUCAAUGUCAGGAUUUAAUUAAUCAGUUUAUCUGGCUAUAUUUUGCUGAACAAGAUCCUGAGAAAAAGGUAUAAGAUUAUUUUAAAUUGACGGAUUACUAUAAAACUAUUUUAAGAGACUUGUUGCAAUAGAUUUUACAGUCCAUUCCAUUUUUGCCCCCAAUGGCGUCGUUUCCAUGUUUGGCUGUUUUGGCAUGGCAGGUACGAAUGUGUUUCUCUUUGAUCUUAAGCCCCUGCAAUUAUGCAAAUCAUAAAUCUAUUGUGCACGAAACAUAAUAUUUUUUGAAUUUGAAUUUAUUAGAUUUUGUCACACAAAUCACACAAUCACAGAUAAUUAUUUACAGAGGUCAAAAAAGUAUUAAUUUACAAAAGGAUAAUAAUAACAGUUUACAAAAAAAGUCAACUGCAGCGCAGUCUACAGAGUGAGCAAAAAAAAACUGACACCUUUGUUAUUCAAAUUAGCCGCGAAGGUAUCAGUUUUUUUUUACUCAUUAGUAUUUAGUAACCAAAAUAUACUAUAUUAUAGGAGAAACAAAGAAAGAAUUGGUUUGAAAACAAAUUACCUCCAGCAAUGAAAAAUUUUGAAGCAAUUUUGAAACGUAAUGGCACAGGAUAUUUUGUUGGAGACAAGGUAUGAUUGUUCUGAUGCAUGCUCGUUCUGUAUAACGGUGUUAUAUACUCUGCAUGCAAUUUUCUGGAAUUUUAUCUGGAAACUAUGGUGAAACAGAGGUGCUUCGUAAAGUCCAUUGCAAAUUAUAGUCAUUUCACAAAAUUGCAAUCGAGCCUCUCAUGCAUGAUCAGAAUGUUGUACUGAUAUUGCAGAAAACCUGACACACGAGUUUCGCAUGCAUGCAUUGAAUAUUCCGUCUUCCACUAUAAUUUCAUAUUUUAUUUCAUUGCCAGAUAACGUACGCUGACGUUGGAUUCUUUAGUUUGUUCAAUGUUUACUUGGCACUCGGGAAACCCACAGUGCCCAAGGAAUUUGAUGGAUACCCAUUAAUAAGUGCUUUGUAUGAGCGUAUAACGAAGGAACCAAGAAUCGCUGCUUACAUCAAGACAAGACCAGAUGCCAUUAUAUGAAACGUUUACAAAGAGGACGGCAUGAAUAUAUCAGCUUAAUUAAAAUAUAUUUAUAUAAUAUGCGUCGAUAUAUAGCAACUUUGAUUUAUCA